CCUACGUCUUAUCUCAUUCUCUCUUGCGCCGUUUCCCCUUCUGCCUCAUCCUUCCUUCCUUACCUCUCUCACCUUCUCUCUACUGAAAGUCUACAGUAAGUUAAAAUGGUCGCCGAUCGCCGCACCGGCCGCCUUCGGUAUGCUUAGAUCUUUGCCGACCACCUCUCCGAGCAUCUACGGUGGAGCAUCAUCGGUACCGGUCAAAUCCUGAACAGUGUAAAAACACUGUUCAAUCUACAGUAAAAUUUUGGUGAGUCCCUCUAUUUUGUCCGUUUGUGGAAGACUAAACGAUGCGUUUGGCCAAAGGGUGUAGAACUCUCUUUUCUUUCUGGAACUCUAAAGUAGUUCGUAUAUGUUCUUAUCUUCUUCUCCUUCUUUCUAAUAAACGUAUUUUUUUUUUCUUUUUUCUUUUCCUCCUAAACCACCGAUUUGUACUGUGAUUCAACUCCUUCAUAACCCAGCCUCAGCACCGAUCUCUCUCUACGAAUCCAGAACAACAAAAAAAAUUUGAAACCCAAGAACAUUUGCAGCCGAUCUGCAUGAGAGAAAAGCCAGAAAAAAAAAAAUGGAGCUCAAAGCCUCAAACGAUGUUUGUGAUCUCGAUCUGUUGGUUGGUGGAUGUGCGAGAGAUAGACGAUUGCAGGUGUUCUUCUUUGCAAUUAUCUCUGCACGUGAGAUUGAAAGUUUGGAUUUUUACUCAGAUUAGAUAAUUCUUCAGAGAUAUUUUCUCACCCAGCAGAGGGAGAGAGGACUGGGGAUUUGUAAUGAAAAUGGAUGAUUGAGAUUUGAGAUAAUUGGAGCAAAGUAGAGAGGGUGGCUUUCGUGUUUUCUCUCAACUGGCCUUUCGUAUUUACCUGGAUAAACUUUUCAAUCAAUAUGUCUCAAUUGUUCGCUCCUUAACUUCCGUUCUGGCUUUGGGGGAGGUCAUUCUACAAGCAAUAUGCGCAAGAUAUGGACUUACUAUCGAGGCCAAGUUCAUAUGGAUUGAUUAAACAUCAGUCCAUGCUUUGUCUUCAAAAAGGUAGAGAAUCACAUUGUUGGAGCUCCAUGUGGUGUGAUGGGCCAGAUAACUUAAGCAUGUGGUGAAGCCAACAAACUUCUUGCAGUUAUGUUCUAGCCUGCUAAGAUAUAUCAAAUUGCUUUCUUAGCUAGACAUGAUGACCACAGCCCAAUGCUUUCGUUGGUGCUGAUUAACAUCAUAAGCGCUUUCUCUAAGUAGCGAUAACUUAGACUCAUAUUCCAUGUUAAUGGUACUGUUGGAGCAAAGUAUAGAGGGUGGCUUUCGUGUUUUCUCUCAACA
RNA transcript from Quercus lobata, 1300 nucleotides. RefSeq lists it as uncharacterized. NCBI's taxonomy places the organism in Eukaryota, Viridiplantae, Streptophyta, Magnoliopsida, Fagales, Fagaceae. The transcript has 9 exons. The record is from RefSeq and is a predicted model, not a curated record.